This 168-nucleotide ribosomal RNA is filed under the name Triticum aestivum (bread wheat). RNAcentral's name for it is "partial small subunit ribosomal RNA". The record is from RNAcentral. Lineage: Eukaryota; Viridiplantae; Streptophyta; Magnoliopsida; Poales; Poaceae.
AUGUUUCCCGAGAGAGACUGCCUUCUCUCAGGCCAGCAGUCUUAUACUUAUAGUCGACUGCUCUAUGACGAUCUGACCUCUUUCCUGGGCUCUGCUUGCUCGUCUACGCUCCGACCAAUUCAGUCAAAAUCGAAAAACGAUGUUUCCUUGAAAAAGUCUAAGAAAUAG